Molecule: ribosomal RNA, 253 nt
Filed under: uncultured bacterium
Lineage: Bacteria
Description: partial 16S ribosomal RNA
Rfam family: Bacterial small subunit ribosomal RNA
Source: RNAcentral
UACGUAGGGGGCAAGCGCUGUCCGGAUUUAUUGGGCGUAAAGAGCGUGUAGGCGGCCUGAAAGGUCAGCUGUGAAAACUCGAGGCUCAACCUCGAGACGUCGGUUGAAACCAUCUGGCUAGAGUCCGGAAGAGGAGUGUGGAAUUCCCGGUGUAGCGGUGAAAUGCGCAGAUAUCGGGAAGAACACCCGUGGCGAAGGCGGCACUCUGGGACGGUACUGACGCUGAGACGCGAAAGCGUGGGGAGCGAACAGG